Oreochromis niloticus (Nile tilapia) is the source of this 2794-nucleotide long non-coding RNA. RefSeq lists it as uncharacterized. The record is from RefSeq and is a predicted model, not a curated record. Lineage: Eukaryota; Metazoa; Chordata; Actinopteri; Cichliformes; Cichlidae. The transcript has 2 exons.
CCCCAGGUUCCACCGCGCGCGGGGUUCCAUUGUACAGAGGAGCAGGUCUGCAGCUCUCCCGCUGAUUGUGUGUAAUUGCCGGCCGAGGGCGUCAACACUAACAGCCUCUUCAAGUGCGAAACGGCCUCUCCCCUCAUUCUCUGCCUCUCCUUUUCUACCUGCUCUGAUCGGGAGGUCAAUUGAACGCGACGGACACGCGGGCAGCUGCCGCCGCGGAUCUUUGUAACGCAUUUUGUUAGCGGAAAAGGAAAAGCAGCGUGAGGAUAUGUUGCACUCCCCAGCAGCCCGGCUGAUUUUUAUCUGUCUGUGAAACACCUCGGCUGGAAGGGGACAAAGGGAGGGGCCGCACUUUGGUCACCAGAGAGGUGUUUUCCUUGGCAGUGGAAUGUGUUCGGUGUGCAGCUUGCUCUGUGCAGAGUCUCAACUGGAAGCGGUUAUUCCAGAAACAGGAAAACGCUCCAAAUAAUAUGGCAACACAUGGCCCCUUCUGAAGCUGCCUGUUGCCAAGACAGAAUGCAGUAUUCACAACUGAUUGUGUGUGUGUUUGUUUGCAGUUAUAACAGAACGUAUUCAGGCACUCGCCAGUGGAGAUUUCAAGCGCAGAUGUGACCUAUGCAUCCCUCAUUCUUUUUAAAUUACAGUUUCACAGAGUGAUGCAAAAUGUCUUAGUACCUUCAAACUUUUAGCAGCAAUCUUCAUCAGCGAUGGCUAAUUAAAGUACUAAUGUAUGUCCCUGGAAGUCUGCAGGAAAGCAGAUUAAAAAUAGCCGUGCGAGCUGUUUGUAUUUAAAAAUAUUUAGUCUGUUGAUUGUGUGAUUUGGACUUAAAAUUUAACAGUAAUCAUUUCCCCGUGUUGCAGUCUGUUGGUUUUAAUUAAGCUGCGCUUGUUUGUGACACAGUGAGGGUGGAAAGGCACAACUGUUGUAACGAUCUCAUCAUAAUGAAAAUAGAAAUUAUUAAAAAAAACUCAAACAGCUUCAGAACUGCAGUCUAAAUUGUACAAACUAAAAUCUAUAGUGUUGUUUGUUUGUCACCUACAGGCUAUCUGGUUCUUUUAAACUGGAUUAGAAAAUCUCAACUGAUUUAGUGAAAUCACUCUUAAAGUUAGAGCACAAAGGUGCUACCGCUAUCUGCUGCUUGACAUGUACUAUACUCUUAUUUUCCUUUGGUGUAUUCUCCAGGUGAGCAAUAAGUAACCUACUGCACAACCUACAAACUGCUGUGGGACUUAAGAAGAGGUAGUAAAACCAGAAACAAAAUCUGUGAUAGGUGAAUGUGUAUUUUGAAUCACUUUCAAUAACUGCACAGUGCACACUUCCUUUUUUCCUGUCCUCUGUUCAUAUCAGGAGGUAGCUUUGUAUCCAAGUGACCUGUCUGACUCCUGCUCGAGACCCUUUUCCAAACUCCCUUCUUCCAGUGUCAUCCCACCAAAAACAAUGAUUGCGCGGAGCUGUGCCAGUCUUUGAAAUGCCUCUCGAAUCCUAACGAGAAAUUAUUUUAACUGAGGCUAUGAAAUCACUAACUUUAGAUAUUUAAAAAAAAAAAAAAAGACAAUUCUUUGCUUGAUCUGAAUCACAAAACUAAUUUAGCAGACAAUUUAGGACAGAUUAGCUUUUCAAGACUGUAUGACCUUAAAUGAAGUAACAAACAGCAGCCAAGAACAACACACUGACUUCAUGCGUCAGUGUGUUGGAGGAGGGCACUUAUCGUCUAUCGGUUAAAAAGAUCAUUCCCUCGGCUUGCAGAGUCAUUUUGGUCAAUGAUUAAAGUGAAUAUUUGUAAUGGGUUUUGUGGAAUUAACUGAGCAGACCACUUGGAUUCAGAAAAAGGGGGUCAUCCAUUACUGUUGUCACUGUUUGAUUUGCAACUAUUUGGCGUUGGCAUUUAUCCAGAGUAACUCAUGUUUGAGGAGUGGUUUAGGGUUCGGUGCUGGGCUUGAGUAAACUUGAAUAUAAGGAACAAAUUCCCAAUCGUUCUAUUAAUGGCCAGCAUCCUCUUUCAUGAAAUACAUCUGUAUCUGUAUCUGAGGCUUAUAAAGCAAAAGAGUACAGUAGUUGAGAAUGAGUGUGGACAGCCAGUGUAUUUGGAGAUUGUAAACAGACUGUAUAUAAAAGAUGGAAGCGCAUUAGCUUUGCACUCUUUCUAAUGGCCAGCAGAGGGCAUUAGGAAUGACCUCGGUAAACAUUUUUCUGAGAGGUUCGCAGUCUCAGUCGCUGGUUUCUUAUUGGACACAGCAUUUUGUAAAUUAUGAUCAGCAUCAGCCAAAAGGAGGAGAAAACAAGGUGUUUUAGAGUAACAAUGACCUUUGAUUUCUUUUUUUCUGGUUCCAAAACACACUUAUCGUGAGGCUUUACAAAUGGACUUUGCUAACCAAAAAGUACAAACAGCUUGGCUACAGCCGUCUUAACACACAACGUAUAGUUCUAACUCACUCUUGAAUCCUCUUCCCUGUAGCUAUUUUGUAUUUUGUGUCCACUCCCACCACUUUCCAUUAUCACUAUCACUCUACAUGGUCCGUUUUUGACAAAUCCCUCCAUACAUACAGGCGCUGACAAGAAAGUGCUUUGACUCCAAAAAUAAUCUAAAACCUCUUGGGGAAAAUUAUCAACAGAUCCUAUUGUUUUGCUGCUUGGCGCUGUUCCAAGAAGGACUGUUUGUCCAAGUGUGCAACGGCUUCUUUGCAGAAGGUCCGAUUUGGCGUGUAAGGAAAGUUUAGUCGGAUAUUUCCAAGCAGCAACAUGUGGUUCUUAGGGGGUAAAAAUAAUAAUUUUUGCACCUUAAAAACAAAACAAAAA